GCCAGGCGUGGUGGUGCAUACCUGUAGUCCCAGCUACUCAGGAGGCUGAGGCAGGAGGAUUUCUUGAGCCCAGGAGGUCAAGGCUGCAGUGAGCUAUGAUUGUGCCACUGCACUCCAGCCUGGGCGACAGAGUGAGACCCUAUCUCAA
RNAcentral lists this non-coding RNA (148 nucleotides) under Homo sapiens (human). Lineage: Eukaryota; Metazoa; Chordata; Mammalia; Primates; Hominidae. The record is from Rfam by way of RNAcentral.